CCUACGGGUGGCUGCAGUGGGGAAUAUUGCACAAUGGGGGAAACCCUGAUGCAGCAACGCCGCGUGAGCGAUGAAGGCCUUCGGGUCGUAAAGCUCUGUCCUAAGGGAAGAAUACUGACGGUACCUUAGGAGGAAGCCCCGGCUAACUACGUGCCAGCAGCCGCGGUAAUACGUAGGGGGCUAGCGUUAUCCGGAAUUACUGGGCGUAAAGGGUGCGUAGGCGGCCCUUCAAGUCAGAGGUGAAAGGCUACGGCUCAACCGUAGUAAGCCUUUGAAACUGUAGGGCUUGAGUGCAGGAGAGGCGAGUGGAAUGCCGUGUGUAGCGGUGAGAUGCGGAGAUAUUGGGAGGAACAGCAGUUGCGAAGGAGGCUCUCUGGACUGUAACUGACGAGGCGGCACGAAAGCGUGGGGAGCGAACCGGAUUAGAUACCCUUGUAGUA
Molecule: ribosomal RNA, 440 nt
Filed under: uncultured bacterium
Lineage: Bacteria
Description: bacterial SSU rRNA
Rfam family: Bacterial small subunit ribosomal RNA
Source: RNAcentral